Molecule: long non-coding RNA, 774 nt
Organism: Dermochelys coriacea (leatherback sea turtle)
Lineage: Eukaryota; Metazoa; Chordata; Testudines; Dermochelyidae
Exons: 3
Source: RefSeq, a predicted model, not a curated record
GAAGCCUGGGAAACCCCCAGAGGACACAAUGAGCUACCGCCCCAUCUCUCUCCUCUCAACCACUAGCAAGCUUAUGGAAUGGGUGCUGCUCCACCAUUUGUCUGAUAUUAUUGAAGACAUCCUCCCAGUGGAGCAGGCAGGAUUCGCCUGAAGAGGAACUGUUGUGACCAAGUAGCUUCACUUACCAGCCACGUUGAGGCAGGAUUCCAAUGUAAGUUGAAGACACGAAUCACCCUUGUUGAUCUAUCCUCAGCAUAUGACACUGUCUGGAGACAGGGCCUCCACUUCAAGGUCUUCCGCAUCAUUCAGUGCCGACAAAGAUCCACCUCUUGGUGGAGAUGACUGAGGACCGUCACUUUAAGGUAUAUCUUCAUGGCCAGAUCAGUAGACCAAGAACUCUUAACUCAGGCAUCCCUCAGGGCUCUGUCCUGGCCCCAAUACUUUUUAAUUUAUACACCAUGGAUAUACCAGCGACAGAGUCAAGGAAAUUCAUCUAUGUGGAUGAUAUUGCCCUAGCUGUUCAGCUUACAAGCCUCCAUACCAUCAGCUGCACCCAAACCCGAGAUCCUAGCACAAUGGCUGAUUAUUUCCAAUGCUGGAAAUUUAGGCUUAGUAAAAAACAAACAAACAGAAACAUGGUAACUGCUUUCCAUCUGAACAAUAAAAUGGCUAAUACCAAACUUGAUGAGCAGUUCUGUGGUGAGAACUUCAGCCACGAAGCUACUCCAAAGUAUCUUGGUGUUACACUGGACUGGAUAGCAUCAGCUCACCCUU